This is a long non-coding RNA of Amphiprion ocellaris (clown anemonefish), 649 nucleotides long. The record is from Ensembl. NCBI's taxonomy places the organism in Eukaryota, Metazoa, Chordata, Actinopteri, Pomacentridae.
UUCACAUUCCCUUCUUAGAUUCGGUUGCCCUCUGAGAUUCAGUUUCCACAUGGACUUUGCUUCCCCACCUUUGGACUCCGUUUUACCCCCUCCUGGAUUUUCCCCACAUGGACUCAGUUCUACCAGAUUCUCACCAGCCCUGCUUCAGUCUCCAGCCUGUUUUUCCUGCCUCGCCUCCGUCUGCCCCUGGAUUCCCUCAGCCAGUCUUCCCCCUCUGUUGCCAGUUCCCCCGUCUUAGAGAAAAACUCCCAUAAUCUCCGUUCAGAGGCAGAUAGUGGAGGGGGACAUUUUUCAGGCCAACUGCAGCAUUAACUACUCCUGUCCUUCCUCACCUCCAUCCAUCCACUGGAAGAAAAGCUCAUCUCUGGAAAGCUCCACUUUCACCAGGGAAGUGCAAGGCCAGUGGUUAUAUAGAGAAACAAUGCACGGACUGGCAACAAAUGAAAUCCAUAACGGCAAACUGAGUUUUUCUGCACAGUUCAGAACCUUCACCACACAAAGUCAAGAAAUUACACUCAACAUUUUAUAUAAACCUGUUGCUGUAAGUCUGAAACUGGAAAACAAACCAGUGACAGAGGGUGGCAGCUCUGGUUAACUCCAAAGCUCAGCACAAGCAGCUGGUGGAGGAUCUCUGUCGCUCCUCCUUCAC